Non-coding RNA from Podarcis lilfordi (Lilford's wall lizard), 75 nucleotides. The record is from the annotation of a GenBank genome assembly. NCBI's taxonomy places the organism in Eukaryota, Metazoa, Chordata, Lepidosauria, Squamata, Lacertidae.
GUCCUGGGAUAGCUGAGUCGGUAGAGCAUGAGACUCUUAAUCUCAGGGUUGUGGGUUCAAGGCCAGCGUUUGGCA